RNAcentral lists this ribosomal RNA (147 nucleotides) under Triticum aestivum (bread wheat). RNAcentral describes it as "partial small subunit ribosomal RNA". The record is from RNAcentral. Lineage: Eukaryota; Viridiplantae; Streptophyta; Magnoliopsida; Poales; Poaceae.
AUGUCAAAAGCCGGCAAGAAGUCUAGUAGUAGUAAUUCCAUGUACGAAGCUCCCCUCGGUUACAAGAUUGAGGACGUUCGCCCUGCCGGAGGAAUCAAGAAGUUCCAAUCUGCUGCCUACUCCAACUGCGCCCGCAAGCCCUCCUGA